GAUGAACGCUAGCGGCAGGCCUAAUACAUGCAAGUCGAACGAUAGUUGGGGCUUGCCCCAACGAAAAGUGGCGCACGGGUGCGUAACGCGUAUGCAACCUACCUUAAUCAGGGGGAUAGCCCGAAGAAAUUCGGAUUAACACCGCAUAAAAUCACAGUAUAGCAUUAUACAAUGAUCAAAUAUUUAUAGGAUUAAGAUGGGCAUGCGUGACAUUAGUUAGUUGGCGAGGUAACGGCUCACCAAGACUACGAUGUCUAGGGGAUCUGAGAGGAUGACCCCCACACUGGUACUGAGACACGGACCGAGACUCCGUACGGGAGGCGAGCAGUAAGGAAUAUUGGUCAAUGGAGGCAACUCUGAACCAGCCAUGCCGCGUGCAGGAAGACAGCCCUC
Molecule: ribosomal RNA, 393 nt
Filed under: uncultured bacterium
Lineage: Bacteria
Description: bacterial SSU rRNA
Rfam family: Bacterial small subunit ribosomal RNA
Source: RNAcentral